CAAUAGCGUAUAUUAAAGUUGUUGCAGUUAAAAGGCUCGUAGUUGGAUUUGUGGCGUACGGUGUGUUCCGGGCACUUGUUGUCUGAGUAACCUGCUGUUGCCAUCCUUGGGUGGAACCUGUGUGGCAUUAGGUUGUCGUGCAGGGGAUGCCCAUCAUUUACUGUGAAAAAAUUAGAGUGUUCAAAGCAGGCUUAUGCCGUUGAAUAUAUUAGCAUGGAAUAAUGAGAUAGGACUUUUUUGCUACUUUGUUGGUUUGCGCAAGAAGGUAAUGAUUAAUAGGGACAGUUGGGGGUAUUCGUAUUCCAUUGUCAGAGGUGAAAUUCCUGGAUUUUUGGAAGACGAACUACUGCGAAAGCAUUUACCAAGGAUGUUUUCAUUAA
Molecule: ribosomal RNA, 380 nt
Filed under: uncultured eukaryote
Lineage: Eukaryota
Description: partial 18S ribosomal RNA
Rfam family: Eukaryotic small subunit ribosomal RNA
Source: RNAcentral